CAAGUACAUCUUUUAUCUCAAUAUAUUGUUUUUGGUUGUGGGGAAACAUCCCAAAGUGGGGCAGGAUGAACAUCGUCCUCGUCUCUUCUUCGCUGGGUUUGGCAGUAUUUAUACUCCUUGUCGCAGCGUCUAAAGAGGGUACAAAGGUCAGCGUGACCUUGUGGCCACCAGGGACGGAGGUCUUCCUCGGGGAAUGUGUGCUGCUGCGGUGCGGAGUCGAGUCCAACGGCUCUUUGGCGUGGAACUAUCGCUUUUUCCGGAACGAGCCCCGCGCCAGCCAGACGAGAAACCCCAGACAUCUGCUCUCCGGCGGCACCUACUCCAUCACCGCUGUGACAAGGGAGGACGUCGGCAGGUACUGGUGCCAGGCCGAGCGCUCCGACAGCAACACCACCGUUGUGCUUUUGAGCAGGCCCGUUACGCUGAGUGUGUCAGAGCUGCCCCCACCCAUGCUGACUCUGACCCCAAGCGCCAGGCAUAUGUUCAUAGGGGAGACCUUUACCUUGCAGUGCCCCGAGAAACUGACAAAUUCCUCUGCCUGGGUCUUGAGGCAAACUUGGACAGGCCACUUCAUGAGGACCGCUGACUCCAAGACCGGUGCAUGCUCAACACUAGACAGUGUUGUCAGGCCAGGGAGAUCCAGUACCUGUGUUGUCUCUACGGCAAGGGGGAACAGCGGACUGUACUGGUGCGAGGGUGCUGAGGGGCGCACCAACGCGGUCCACAUUACUGUCACCUCCAGUCUGGUCAUCAUGAGGACCCCCGCCUUCUCUGUACCGCACGGGAGCAACGUGGUCUUAGCUUGCCUCUUCCGGAAAGGGAACCACACGAAAGGCACGUUCUUCAGAAACGGCGUGGAAACGUCCACUUACAGUUCUCCCGAUCCUGGCACAGAACUAAAACUGACCAUUGAGAACGUGACCGAGGGCCACGAAGGCUUCUACAAGUGUGCCUCACAGGACGGAAAGCUGGAAAGCCCCCAGAGCUGGUUGUCAGUUACAAGCAACUUAUUACCUGCGGAUGUGUCUCCUGACUCCGGUUCUGGUUCCUGGAUUUGGAUCCUUGUUUCCUGCGUUCUUAUAAUCCUCAUCCCGCUUGCUAUUUUGCUAAUUCAUCAUUUCAGGUACAAGAUGUUUUACGCUCAAAGCUGUUGGAGGGAGGGAACUCCCGCAGCCGUGCUUCCUGCCACCAAGCAGGAUGUGACGGAGGUCCAGUGGGAUCUUUCCUGGAUGGAGAUGUCCAAUCUGCUGUAUCCGGGCACAUGAAGGUUUUCACCCAUAUCAGUUAUGGACGCGAGGCUAAUCAAUUGAUGCGUAGCACUGUAUGGUACAGAAUACUGUAGUAUUACAUUAUUGGAUUGGUCUAAUUUUCACAAAUUUGUCUCGUGGGCUCACGCAAUGGAACUUUCCGAUGGCGAUCUUAAGCUCCGCCCCCUUAGCCAAGUCCCAGGAGCUUCCAAAAUGGCGACUGAACACAACAGGGCCCCGAUGACGACUGGUGCUCAGCCAGAUCGUUGAGGUUCAUGUCCCGGUCCAGCACUCUCGUAUCCCUGAUCGUCAACCCGUGUGUACCGACCUUCGCCUGUUCUCCGACCGACCUCGUGAGCCUGACUCCUUUGAGACUUCUGCCUGCAUUGUACCGACUCCUGCCUGCCCGCUCACCUGCUCUCUUCGCCCGACGUCCCAACUACCGCUGCUGCACCUGACUGCCUGCCCGAUCCCCGACCUCCUAAUAAUAAAAGUUUUU
Molecule: RNA transcript, 1746 nt
Organism: Syngnathoides biaculeatus (alligator pipefish)
Lineage: Eukaryota; Metazoa; Chordata; Actinopteri; Syngnathiformes; Syngnathidae
Exons: 9
Source: RefSeq, a predicted model, not a curated record